RNAcentral lists this unclassified non-coding RNA (348 nucleotides) under soil metagenome. RNAcentral describes it as "partial contains 5.8S ribosomal RNA, internal transcribed spacer 2, and large subunit ribosomal RNA". The stretch from base 1 to 120 matches the Rfam family "5.8S ribosomal RNA", at positions 35 to 154 of the family's 154-position model. The record is from RNAcentral.
GAUGAAGAACGUAGCGAAAUGCGAUAAGUAAUGUGAAUUGCAGAAUUCAGUGAAUCAUCGAGUCUUUGAACGCACAUUGCGCCCCCUGGUAUUCCGGGGGGCAUGCCUGUCCGAGCGUCAUUGCUGCCCUCAAGCACGGCUUGUGUGUUGGGCUCCCGCCCCCCGGCUUCGGGGGGCGGGCCCGAAAGGCAGCGGCGGCACCGCGUCCGGUCCUCGAGCGUAUGGGGCUUCGUCACCCGCUCUGUAGGCCCGGCCGGCGCCCGCCGGCGACCCCAAUCAAUCUUUCCAGGUUGACCUCGGAUCAGGUAGGGAUACCCGCUGAACUUAAGCAUAUCAAUAAGCGGAGGA